AGAAUAUAUAAGUGAAAUAUGCUAUAGAAAAUUAAGCACAGUCUAACAUCUGCAACCAGAUAUCUAUUACCAUUAUAUGCAAUAGUUUUAAACGAAUAAAACAGAAUAAAAAACAACUAAAUAAGCAAUAGCCCAAAGUAAAUAUUGGCCAUGAUUAGCCUGUCAUUGGCCCAACAAGGCCAAUAUUUUCUCCAUUUUCACUUGCAAAAGAUCAGCAAACAACCAAUUGGCACUAAACAACAAUCAGAACAACCAACAGAACAAGCAGAACAACAACCAAUGGCAAUUGAAACAUAAUUUCUUUCAGUUGAUUGAUUAUAUAUAAUUUCCUAUAUUCAGUUCUUUAGUUGACUCUCAAGACUUUCGAAAACUGUUUUGGCGUACACCUAAAAUCAAUAAAUAAAAGAAGUAACUAUCACGGACGAGCCAAAGGAAUCGUAUUUCUAAACUCAAAACAGCUUCAGGGACCAACUAAAAAAAGAAAGGAUAAAUGAUUUAAAACAAGAAAUGAAAAAUAUAACAACAAGUAAUAAAGAACAACUGGUAAAUUAACUAAAAUGUAAAGACAUGGC
This 572-nucleotide long non-coding RNA is filed under the name Drosophila guanche. The record is from RNAcentral. Lineage: Eukaryota; Metazoa; Arthropoda; Insecta; Diptera; Drosophilidae.